CUCAGACUCCUCCAAUGGGAGGGCGGCUCUCCGAGAAGGCGGAGGGGGUGGCGGGCAGUCGUCGGACUGACAAGGGGGCCCAGCCAAUGGGGGCGGCGAGCCGGAGCUGCCCUCCCGCGCGUGCCAAUCGCAGGCGGCAACUGUUGGGGUGGGCGGAGCUCGGGCGGGCGGGGGCCCGGAGCGGAGCGGCGCGGGGCGGAGUCCUCGGGCGCAGCGGCGGUGGCAGCGGCGGCGCCCCUCUGGGUGACUUGGCCGUGAGAAAGUGAAAGGAGCCCGCAGGCGGCGGCGACAGCUGCGCUGGGAGGGGCUUGUUUCCAGGCUCGGAGGCCCCGCGCACUCUGGGGGCGCGGAGCGAGCCUUUUGGUGUGCACCUUGACAACCACAAAUACACUUUUAAACGUAGUGGGGCUUGGCCGCCGCGAGUUGCGCAGGUGUCCCGGAGAGGCAGGGCACCCGGGGACACGCAGGGCUCCAGGCCGGCUUCGGCUGUCUCUCCCUGCUCCCUCCUGCGGGGCGACGGCGCCCGGGUCCUGGGCUGCCCGUGCGCGGGGUAGCGGGACCGAGGAACGCUCUCGCUCGUCCUGCGGCGUCCCGCGCCCAGGUGCACAUCGGGGCGCUGGGGACGCGAGCAACUCGGGCACAGUUUCUGGGAGUCGUUCUGACGUCAUCGUGUCACGGGCAGAGCGGGGCAGGGCGCCUGCCUUUCUCGCGAAACGCUCCCGUCCCUUGUAUGCUUACACUGUUGCAAGACAUCCCCGAGUGACCAAAUUUUAGAGCAUUGCAGUAAAAUUGGUACUUGCAGACGCCCUAGCUUGAUUCCUUAAUUGGUACGUAUGUAGCCACAACUUUAAACUACCGAGGGAAGAUGGAAGGCUGCUGUGUCGCUUUUCCUUCCCCUCGAAGAAACUUUCACUCGGUACCUGUUCUUGGCGAUUAAACUGCAUUAAUCACGGCCACAGAGACGCGUGGGAAUGUCUGCCGUCAAGAAACUGGAAAUCGUGUUGAGGCAAGAAUUACAAGUAAAAAGUUGAAUAACAAGUGGUGGGGGAGCAGGAAUGGCUCAAGAAAAGAAAAUAGAAAAAAAACAAAACUGCAUAGUGAGGAAGUCAGUCCACUACCACUGGACACCUAUCAUGUGUAAGGCCUGGUUCCAGUGACAUCAGCCUCUGUACAACCAUUUGGCCUGGCUCAUAAGCAGAUGCAUGAACUAGCGUUGGAAGGAAAUACUCUUGAACUACUUUGAUAAGGGUACAUUCUGACCCAACCUAGAAAUACCCCAGAUGGAUGUGGUAGAGACUUUACUCCUGGGAGAAGCAUAGCAAUUCUUUAGUAUAUGUAAGAGGUAUUUCAUCCUUGAGGCAUUUUAGAGUCUCACAGAUUUUCUCUGUUCAGGAAGGUGUUUCUUUGCUAACUCAUAUUCGUCUUUCAAUCAGCUGGUUUGAUGGCCUUCCAGAGGCUGCCGGGAAGAUCUGACAAGUGGAAAGAAAAAAGACAAGCAAACCUCGAAGAGCAUUUCAGAAAGAAAGAAAAGAAAAUAUCCAAAGGACUGGGGGGAAGAAUGGAGGGAAACAAAUAAAAUUAGACAAAGUUUUAGAAAGCAAA
Molecule: long non-coding RNA, 1602 nt
Organism: Sapajus apella (tufted capuchin)
Lineage: Eukaryota; Metazoa; Chordata; Mammalia; Primates; Cebidae
Exons: 4
Source: RefSeq, a predicted model, not a curated record